Molecule: long non-coding RNA, 255 nt
Organism: Cephus cinctus (wheat stem sawfly)
Lineage: Eukaryota; Metazoa; Arthropoda; Insecta; Hymenoptera; Cephidae
Exons: 2
Source: RefSeq, a predicted model, not a curated record
AUUGAUCGACCCCCAAUCCUGAGGUAGAACGCGAGACCAGCUGCGCCACAACAUGGAUAGCACCACUACCGGAGGAGACUAGAGUUCUGCUACCAAGAAGCUCCUAGGGGUUCUGGCCAGACAAAAUGGCGGAAUAAACAAGUAAAGAAGACACAAUCCUUCCGGCAUAUCAAUAUAUGUGUAUUCAGAACGAGCAAAACUUUAUUUAACCAUUGCCUGUCAUCGCUUCCGUAUUUAAUAAAUUUAUUCAAAAUA